GUAGGUAUAGUUUAACCAAAACAUUAGAUUGUGGGUCUAAAAAUAGGGGUUAAACCCCCCUUACCCACC
Molecule: transfer RNA, 69 nt
Filed under: Atherinosoma microstoma (small-mouth hardyhead)
Lineage: Eukaryota; Metazoa; Chordata; Actinopteri; Atheriniformes; Atherinidae
Description: tRNA-His
Rfam family: tRNA
About the family: Transfer RNA (tRNA) molecules are approximately 80 nucleotides in length. Their secondary structure includes four short double-helical elements and three loops (D, anti-codon, and T loops). Further hydrogen bonds mediate the characteristic L-shaped molecular structure. tRNAs have two regions of fundamental functional importance: the anti-codon, which is responsible for specific mRNA codon recognition, and the 3' end, to which the tRNAs corresponding amino acid is attached (by aminoacyl-tRNA synthetases). tRNAs cope with the degeneracy of the genetic code in two manners: having more than one tRNA (with a specific anti-codon) for a particular amino acid; and 'wobble' base-pairing, i.e. permitting non-standard base-pairing at the 3rd anti-codon position.
Source: RNAcentral